UCGAAACCUGCAUGGCAGAACGACCCGACAACACGUUCCGACGCUCGGGGGCGGGGGGUCUCGCGGCUCCUCGCCCCCACCUCCCGGGAGGCGGACGUCUCGCGCGUCGCUCCGGCCGUUCCGCUUGGCCGACCCUUCCGGGCGUACCGAACACCGGCGUGAAUUGCGCCAAGGAACUUGAAUGAAAGAGCGUUCCCCCGCCGUCCCGGAGACGGAGACCGCGCGGGCGUUCGUCCGUCUUCAGUAUGUCUAAACGACUCUCGGCAACGGAUAUCUCGGCUCUCGCAUCGAUGAAGAACGUAGCGAAAUGCGAUACUUGGUGUGAAUUGCAGAAUCCCGUGAACCAUCGAGUCUUUGAACGCAAGUUGCGCCCGAAGCCGUUACGCGAGGGCACGUCUGCCUGGGCGUCACACGUCGUUGCCCCCCUGACCCCUUCGGGGUCGGACGGGACGGAUGAUGGCCUUCCCGUGUGCCCCGUCACGCGGUUGGCAUAAAUACCGAGUCCUCGGCGACCGGCGGUCCGGCGAUCGGUGGUUGUCAAACCUCGGUGCCUUGUCGCGUGCGUGAGUCGAUCGCGGGACUUCCUUAGCCGUAAGCGCGUCGGUAACCCGACGUUUCAA
Molecule: precursor RNA, 620 nt
Filed under: Fragaria x ananassa (strawberry)
Lineage: Eukaryota; Viridiplantae; Streptophyta; Magnoliopsida; Rosales; Rosaceae
Description: partial precursor RNA
Rfam family: 5.8S ribosomal RNA (bases 256-410)
Source: RNAcentral